Molecule: ribosomal RNA, 520 nt
Filed under: uncultured Glomus
Lineage: Eukaryota; Fungi; Glomeromycota; Glomeromycetes; Glomerales; Glomeraceae
Description: SSU rRNA
Rfam family: Eukaryotic small subunit ribosomal RNA
Source: RNAcentral
AGCAGCCGCGGUAAUUCCAGCUCCAAUAGCGUAUAUUAAAGUUGUUGCAGUUAAAAAGCUCGUAGUUGAAUUUCGGGGUCAGUAAGUUGGUCGUGCCACUGGUAUGUACUGGCUUUACUGAUUCCUCCUUCUUGUAGAACCGUAAUGCCAUUAAGUUGGUGUUGCGGGAGAACAGGACUGUUACUUUGAAAAAAUUAGAGUGCUUAAAGCAAGCUAACGCUUGAAUACAUUAGCAUGGAAUAAUGAAAUAGGACGUUCGAUCCUAUUUUGUUGGUUUCUAGGAUUGACGUAAUGAUUAAUAGGGAUAGUUGGGGGCAUUAGUAUUCAAUUGUCAGAGGUGAAAUUCUUGGAUUUAUUGAAGACUAACUACUGCGAAAGCAUUUGCCAAGGAUGUUUUCAUUAAUCAAGAACGAAAGUUAGGGGAUCGAAGACGAUCAGAUACCGUCGUAGUCUUAACCAUAAACUAUGCCGACUAGGGAUCGGAUGAUGUUAAUUUUUUAAUGACUCAUUCGGCGCCUUA